GAUGAAGAACGUAGCGAAAUGCGAUAAGUAAUGUGAAUUGCAGGAUUCAGUGAAUCAUCGAAUCUUUGAACGCACAUUGCGCCCCUUGGUAUUCCGAGGGGCAUGCCUGUUCGAGCGUCAUUAUAACCCCUCAAGCUCAGCUUGGUGUUGGGGCCUGCUGCACUGGCAGCCCUUAAAAUCAGUGGCGGCGCCAUCUGGCUCUAAGCGUAGUAAUUCUUCUCGCUAUGGAGUCCUGGUGGAUGCUUGCCAUCAACCCCCAAUUUUUCUAUGGUUGACCUCGGAUCAGGUAGGGAUACCCGCUGAACUUAAGCAUAUCAAUAAGCGGAGGA
RNAcentral lists this unclassified non-coding RNA (329 nucleotides) under soil metagenome. Its description in RNAcentral is "partial contains 5.8S ribosomal RNA, internal transcribed spacer 2, and large subunit ribosomal RNA". The stretch from base 1 to 120 matches the Rfam family "5.8S ribosomal RNA", at positions 35 to 154 of the family's 154-position model. The record is from RNAcentral.